GAUUAACGCUAGCGGCAGGCAUAAUACAUGCAAGUUGAACGGCAGCACAGGUAGCAAUACUGGGUGGCGAGUGGCGCACGGGUGCGUAACACGUAUGCAACCUACCCUAUACAGGCGAAUAACCUUUAGAAAUGAGGGCUAAUACGCCGUAGUAUUACAGAUGGGCAUCUAUUUGUAAUUAAAGAUUUAUCGGUAUAGGAUGGGCAUGCGUCCCAUUAGUUAGUUGGUAAGGUAACGGCUUACCAAGACGAUGAUGGGUAGGGGAUCUGAGAGGACUUACCCCCACACUGGUACUGAGACACGGACCGGACUCCUACGGGAGGCAGCAGUAAGGAAUAUUGGGCAAUGGCCGCGAGGCUGACCCAGCCAUGCCGCGUGCAGGAAGACGGCCUUAUGGGUUGUAAACUGCUUUUAUACGGGAAUAAUAGAGUGUACGCGUACAUUUAUGCAAGUAUCGUAUGAAUAAGCAUCGGCUAACUCCGUG
RNAcentral lists this ribosomal RNA (484 nucleotides) under uncultured bacterium. RNAcentral describes it as "partial 16S ribosomal RNA". It matches the Rfam family "Bacterial small subunit ribosomal RNA", at positions 28 to 507 of the family's 1533-position model. The record is from RNAcentral.